RNAcentral lists this ribosomal RNA (738 nucleotides) under Bacillus anthracis (anthrax bacterium). RNAcentral's name for it is "bacterial SSU rRNA". It matches the Rfam family "Bacterial small subunit ribosomal RNA", at positions 68 to 785 of the family's 1533-position model. Lineage: Bacteria; Bacillati; Bacillota; Bacilli; Caryophanales; Bacillaceae. The record is from RNAcentral.
GGAAUGGAUUAAGAGCUUGCUCUUAUGAAGUUAGCGGCGGACGGGUGAGUAACACGUGGGUAACCUGCCCAUAAGACUGGGAUAACUCCGGGAAACCGGGGCUAAUACCGGAUAACAUUUUGAACCGCAUGGUUCGAAAUUGAAAGGCGGCUUCGGCUGUCACUUAUGGAUGGACCCGCGUCGCAUUAGCUAGUUGGUGAGGUAACGGCUCACCAAGGCAACGAUGCGUAGCCGACCUGAGAGGGUGAUCGGCCACACUGGGACUGAGACACGGCCCAGACUCCUACGGGAGGCAGCAGUAGGGAAUCUUCCGCAAUGGACGAAAGUCUGACGGAGCAACGCCGCGUGAGUGAUGAAGGCUUUCGGGUCGUAAAACUCUGUUGUUAGGGAAGAACAAGUGCUAGUUGAAUAAGCUGGCACCUUGACGGUACCUAACCAGAAAGCCACGGCUAACUACGUGCCAGCAGCCGCGGUAAUACGUAGGUGGCAAGCGUUAUCCGGAAUUAUUGGGCGUAAAGCGCGCGCAGGUGGUUUCUUAAGUCUGAUGUGAAAGCCCACGGCUCAACCGUGGAGGGUCAUUGGAAACUGGGAGACUUGAGUGCAGAAGAGGAAAGUGGAAUUCCAUGUGUAGCGGUGAAAUGCGUAGAGAUAUGGAGGAACACCAGUGGCGAAGGCGACUUUCUGGUCUGUAACUGACACUGAGGCGCGAAAGCGUGGGGAGCAAACAGGAUUAGAUAC